RNAcentral lists this ribosomal RNA (253 nucleotides) under uncultured bacterium. Its description in RNAcentral is "partial 16S ribosomal RNA". It matches the Rfam family "Bacterial small subunit ribosomal RNA", at positions 524 to 776 of the family's 1533-position model. The record is from RNAcentral.
UACGAAGGGUGCAAGCGUUACUCGGAAUUACUGGGCGUAAAGCGUGCGUAGGUGGUUCGUUAAGUCUGAUGUGAAAGCCCUGGGCUCAACCUGGGAAUGGCAUUGGAAACUGGCGACCUAGAGUGCGGUAGAGGGUAGUGGAAUUCCCGGUGUAGUGGUGAAAUGCGUAGAUAUCGGGAGGAACACCAGUGGCGAAGGCGACUACCUGGCCUGUUCUUGACGCUGAGGCGCGAAAGCUAGGGGAGCAAACGGG